GUGGGGAAUAUUGGGCAAUGGGGGAAACCCUGACCCAGCGACGCCGCGUGAGGGAAGAAGGCCUUAGGGUCGUAAACCUCUGUUGUGUGGGAAGAAGAGCGUGACGGUACCACACGAGGAAGUCCCGGCUAACUACGUGCCAGCAGCCGCGGUAAUACGUAGGGGACGAGCGUUGUCCGGAUUUACUGGGCGUAAAGGGCGCGUAGGCGGUCAUUUAAGUCAGCUGUGAAAUGGUUUGGCUUAACCGGAUCAUGCGGUUGAAACUGGAUGACUGGAGUGCUGGAGAGGCAAGGGGAAUUCCCAGUGUAGCGGUGAAAUGCGUAGAUAUUGGGAAGAACACCGGUGGCGAAGGCGACUUGCUGGCCAGCAACUGACGCUGAGGCGCGAAAGCCAGGGGAGCAAACGGGAUUAGAUACCCGGGUAGUCC
This 427-nucleotide ribosomal RNA is filed under the name uncultured bacterium. RNAcentral's name for it is "partial 16S ribosomal RNA". It matches the Rfam family "Bacterial small subunit ribosomal RNA", at positions 354 to 796 of the family's 1533-position model. The record is from RNAcentral.